GUGSUUKCUMAGWUAAGCMUGCAUGUGUAAGUACAAGCCGAUGUAAGGUGAAACCGCGAAUGGCUCAUUAAAUCAGCUAUGUUUCAUUGGAUCUGUACCCCCACUUACUUGGAUAACUGUGGUAAUUCUAGAGCUAAUACAUGCACACAGAGUCCCCGACCGCAAGGGAGGGGCGCUUUUAUUAGUUCAAAACCGGUCGGGCCUCGGUCCGUAACCCACCUGUGGUGAAUCUGAAUAACUUUGAGCUGAGCGCACGGUCUCCGCACUGGCGCCGCAUCUUUCAAGUGUCUGCCUUAUCAGCUUUCGAUUGUAGGUUAUUCGCCUACAAUGGCUAUAACGGGUAACGGGGAAUCAGGGUUCGAUUCCGGAGAGGGAGCCUGAGAAACGGCUACCACAUCUAAGGAAGGCAGCAGGCACGUAAAUUACCCAUUCCCAGACCGGGGAGGUAGUGACGAAAAAUAACGAUGCGAGACUCAUCCGAGGCCUCGCAAUCGGAAUGAGUACACUUUAAAUCCUUUAACGAGGACCCAUUGGAGGGCAAGUCUGGUGCCAGCAGCCGCGGUAAUUCCAGCUCCAAUAGCGUAUAUUAAAGUUGUUGCGGUUAAAAAGCUCGUAGUUGGAUUACAGUUCCGGACUGACGGUUCACCGCCCGGUGCUUACUGUCACGCUCCGAACAGCCUGAAAUAUGGCCCCGCCGGCUCGCCCGGGGUGCUCUUUACCGAGUGUCCCGAGUGGCCGGCAUGUUUACUUUGAAAAAAUUAGAGUGCUCAGAGCAGGCUACAUGAAUUGGCCUGAAUGUCUAUGCAUGGAAUAAUGGAAUAGGACCUCGGUUCUAUUUUGUCGGUUUUCUUCGGAACCCGAGGUAAUGACUAAUAGAAACAGGCG
This 885-nucleotide ribosomal RNA is filed under the name Paralithodes platypus (blue king crab). RNAcentral's name for it is "SSU rRNA". It matches the Rfam family "Eukaryotic small subunit ribosomal RNA", at positions 31 to 895 of the family's 1831-position model. Lineage: Eukaryota; Metazoa; Arthropoda; Malacostraca; Decapoda; Lithodidae. The record is from RNAcentral.